UGUAAAAUUUUAAAGGUCGAACAGACCUAAUAUUAUAGCUUCUACACCAAAAAUUAAUUUUAAUCCAACAUCGAGGUCGCAAUCUUUUUUUUUAAUAUGAACUUUAUAAAAAAAUUACGCUGUUAUCCCUAAGGUAAUUUUAUCUUAUAAUCAAAAAUAUUGGRUCAUUUAUUCAUAAAUUUAUGUUUAAAAAUAAAAAAAAGUUUAUUAAAUUUUUCAAUCACCCCAAUUAAAUUAUUAAAUAAAAUAUAUAAAUAAAUACUAAAAUAUAAUUUUUAUUUAAUAAUUAAACUCUAUAGGGUCUUCUCGUCUUUUAAAUUCAAUUAAGCUUUUUAACUUAAAAAUAAAAUUCUAAUAAUUUAAUAGAGACAGUCAUUUUUUUAUCCAACCUUUCAUUCCAGUUUUUAAUUAAAAAACUAAUGAUUAUGCUACCUUAGCACGGUCAAAAUACCACGGCCAUUUAAAUUUUCAGUGGGCAGGCUAGACCUUAAAUUAUAUACAAAAGGAC
Molecule: ribosomal RNA, 508 nt
Filed under: Chrysolina lucidicollis grossepunctata
Lineage: Eukaryota; Metazoa; Arthropoda; Insecta; Coleoptera; Chrysomelidae
Description: 16S ribosomal RNA
Source: RNAcentral